Long non-coding RNA from Bubalus bubalis (water buffalo), 352 nucleotides. RefSeq lists it as uncharacterized. The record is from RefSeq and is a predicted model, not a curated record. Lineage: Eukaryota; Metazoa; Chordata; Mammalia; Artiodactyla; Bovidae. The transcript is spliced from 3 exons.
UCUUUGAAAUUACGGAGGGCAUGGGUUAAACCACGUGUUCCCGACAACAGUGAAUGCAAAGCCCACGUGAUAAAGAGCACAGCUUGACCCGUGUGGCUGGAGCACCGAGGGUCAGGGAGAGGCCGAGGCAGCACCGCAGGACCUGCAGAAGCACAAUGGAUAUUCAGAUGGAGAAGUGAGGACUGAAGAUCGCCCAGGCUGCCAUCUUUAAAUAGCCCCAAACAGGAAGUCAUCCCUGGCCACCGACCACAGGGAGUUCUCUGUCCAGAAGCUGCAUCCCAGAUGGGCCUCCUCCUUGCUCCCUCCCCCUCCUCCCUCCUCCGGAGGAGCUCAGGGAACACAGCCACAUUUU